Molecule: transfer RNA, 73 nt
Filed under: Pelodiscus sinensis (Chinese soft-shelled turtle)
Lineage: Eukaryota; Metazoa; Chordata; Testudines; Trionychidae
Rfam family: tRNA
About the family: Transfer RNA (tRNA) molecules are approximately 80 nucleotides in length. Their secondary structure includes four short double-helical elements and three loops (D, anti-codon, and T loops).
Source: Rfam by way of RNAcentral
GGGGAACUAGUUCAAGUGGUAAAGCGCUUGCUUUGCAUGCGUGAGGCAGUGGGAUCAAUACCCACAUUCUCCA